GAUUUUUACCUGAUCUAAUCUUUAUUCUGAUGAUUGCAAAACUGCACUCUCUCCAUGCUUACCGUGUGGCACUUGGCAUCCUGCUGUGAGCAAGAGCCCUUCCCUCUCUUCGCUGCAAGAGGUUCCAGGCUCACCUCGUGUGUGUCCUGUUCCAGCCUUGGAUUUAGUCAUUUCUCCAAGGAGAUGGUUUCUUUUACCAGCGAAUGGCUUUAGAGACCAAAAUCGGACUGCUGGGUGUGUUCAUUGCCAUUGGAGUGCCUUUGCUCAUGGUUACUGUGUGUCUUUGCUUCCAGACCUACUCAGUGAAGAAACAGAGGAACUAUGAAUGUGAAGAUACCCAUACACAUAUACACAAAUGGGCAUGUAUUUCUGUGACACACAUACAUAUUUUAGAAAUCUUGAGUUCCUACCAUGUCUGCUUUUCCAGGCCAUCUGCACAGGGUUCUUCUCUCUUGCCUCCUGCAUUCCAUACUUGGGUGGCCCUCCUUCUAUGGUGAGCAGCCUGGCUGUUAACAUCUGCACGUUUACUCCAUUGCUUGGUCCUGAAUUACAUCUAAAAGAGAACCAGGGUUGCCUGCUCCCCUACUACCAAAAGCCAUAAUGAAGGUUAGGAUUUGUUUGCCGUUCUGUCCCAAGUUUCCUCCCCGAGCUGGAAACUCGAGGGUAUAUAUAUAGUUGAAAUCUCAAAUACUGCAUUCAUGCAUUACUUGGGUUUUGUGGUUAUAGUUAGGGAAGUGCUGCCCCCAUAUUUUAUCCUCUCUGCUUCUACCUCCCUGUCCCCGAGAACUAACCAACUUGUUUGUUUCCUGGUUUUGUCUGUCUUGUGUUUCUUGUUGUAAAGAUAAACUGGUGUUUCUAUGGUUUCUCAUUUCUUCUUUCUUAUAUGAAAGGUAGCACAGUAUAUAUUCUUAAAAGCAUCUGAUUAUUUUAAAAAAUUAAAUAAAGUCCACACUUUAAUUUCUUCAGUUUUUCUUUUCUGCCCAUUUUUUUUGUUUGUUUGUUUGUUUGUUUGGUGAUCCCAUCCAGGACACUGCAUUAUAUUUAGUAGUUGUGUCUCCUAGGCUCACCUAGGCUCUGGUGGUUGCAUCUUACUUUUUGAGAUAUAUAGGUGAUGGAUGGGGAAGAGAAAGAGGAAGGUCCAGGAGUUAGGUCUCUGUCCCCCAAAUGUUAUUUACCACAUUCAGGAUUUUUAUCAUAUCCUCAUGCUGCACAUGUUACCACAUUUAUUUAAUACUUUAAAAAAUGUUCAUUAAAAUUUCUUUAUUGAGGUAUGGUCGAAUUACAGUAUUGUGUUAAUUUCUGCUGUAAAGCAAAAUGCUUCAGUUAUACAUACUUGUUUUCUUUUUCAUAUUCUUUUCCAUUAUGGUUUAUCACAGGAUAUUGAAUAUAGUUCCCUGCUUCAUUUUUUUAACCAUAGGAUAUUUUAUAAGAAAACUUUACAUCACUACCAUAAAUUGUCUCAUUAUUACUUGUCCACUUGUAUUUCUUGAGAGUUGGGUAAAAAUUGCAACCUUUCGAAGUUUAAGAAGUUCAACAAGACAGAGUUCCCUGGUGGACUAGUGGGUUAAAAAUCUGGUAUUGUCCCUGCUGUGGCUUGGGUUUGAUCCCUGGCC
This 1613-nucleotide long non-coding RNA is filed under the name Sus scrofa (pig). Its description in RNAcentral is "lncRNA (ENSSSCG00055016228.1)". Lineage: Eukaryota; Metazoa; Chordata; Mammalia; Artiodactyla; Suidae. The record is from RNAcentral.